RNAcentral lists this ribosomal RNA (600 nucleotides) under Staphylococcus pasteuri. Its description in RNAcentral is "bacterial SSU rRNA". It matches the Rfam family "Bacterial small subunit ribosomal RNA", at positions 40 to 620 of the family's 1533-position model. The record is from RNAcentral. Lineage: Bacteria; Bacillati; Bacillota; Bacilli; Caryophanales; Staphylococcaceae.
GGGCCGCUAUCGUCUACAUGCAAGUCGAGCGAACAGAUAAGGAGCUUGCUCCUUUGACGUUAGCGGCGGACGGGUGAGUAACACGUGGAUAACCUACCUAUAAGACUGGGAUAACUUCGGGAAACCGGAGCUAAUACCGGAUAACAUAUUGAACCGCAUGGUUCAAUAGUGAAAGGCGGCUUUGCUGUCACUUAUAGAUGGAUCCGCGCCGUAUUAGCUAGUUGGUAAGGUAACGGCUUACCAAGGCAACGAUACGUAGCCGACCUGAGAGGGUGAUCGGCCACACUGGAACUGAGACACGGUCCAGACUCCUACGGGAGGCAGCAGUAGGGAAUCUUCCGCAAUGGGCGAAAGCCUGACGGAGCAACGCCGCGUGAGUGAUGAAGGUCUUCGGAUCGUAAAACUCUGUUAUCAGGGAAGAACAAAUGUGUAAGUAACUGUGCACAUCUUGACGGUACCUGAUCAGAAAGCCACGGCUAACUACGUGCCAGCAGCCGCGGUAAUACGUAGGUGGCAAGCGUUAUCCGGAAUUAUUGGGCGUAAAGCGCGCGUAGGCGGUUUUUUAAGUCUGAUGUGAAAGCCCACGGCUCAACCGUGGAG